UACGUAGGGGCGAGCGUUACCCGGAAUCACUGGUCGUAAAGGGCGCGCAGGCUGUUAUGCGAGUCUGCUGUGAAAUGUACCGGCUCAACCGGUGCCUUGCGGCGGAUACUGCAUAGCUGGAGUACUGGAGAGGGAAGUGGAAUUCCCGGUGUAGCGGUGAAAUGCGUAGAUAUUGGGAGGAACACCGGUGGCGUAGGCGGCUUGCUGGCCAGUUACUGACGCUCAUGCGCGAAAGCUGGGGUAGCGAACCGGAUUAGAUACCCCGGUA
Molecule: ribosomal RNA, 268 nt
Filed under: uncultured prokaryote
Description: partial 16S ribosomal RNA
Rfam family: Bacterial small subunit ribosomal RNA
Source: RNAcentral